CACACUGGGAUGAUGGGUGUGGUUUUUCGAAGACAAACUUCUGAAUGAUUUGUGUGCAUGCGUCCCAGUUCCUGAGUCGUUCUAGAGGAGGAGCAUGAUGCAGAGUAGCGCUUAGGGCCCGGCCUGCGCUCACAGUGGAGUAAAGAACAUAAGGCUCUGUGCCUUGAGGCUCCACCGGCUGGAUAUGGAACUUCUCAGGGAAGCGGGGACCAAAACUGAAGCUCGUCCAGAGCCUCAGAGAAUGCUGUUAUCUGUUCCAUGUCAUUAGAGAGCAUCUGGAGAAAAUAUCUGGAGAGCUACUUAUUGGGAGUGGACUUUGAAGAAACAAGACGUUAUGUGCCAUUCGGGAAAGUAAGACUGUUGCAAUGCUUUCUGUGUACUGUGCAAUAUUAAAACCCUUUGGUCCAGACAGAAGAAUAUGUCUUUGCUUUGCUUUGCUUUAGUGUAUUUCAAAGGACGGGGGAGAAAAAAAAAAUACAGCAACCAUUAGCAUUUGCUGGAGACUGGAGCGUCCUUCUGGCUUAUUAAAGGAGAACUGAAGUCAUUUUUAAACUUGCUUUAUUUCUUAAUUAACGUGUUAUUCAAUUACGUUUGGGGUUUUAGUAACCUUAUAUCGUGGCUCGUAUUGGCAACUAAUUGCAAUUAAAUAUUAUACUUAUCGGCUUAUUUGGUUUUUAGCCAUGUUGAAUUUAGUUUGUUUGGUCCAUUGCAGGCGUCGCUUAUCCACGCGAUCUUCACCAGACUUGUGCGAGACUUCGAAGCGUCAAGUGUCAGCCAGGUGUCAGUGCCGCUAUUUUGAAAACUGUUUUCCAAACGAAGUAUUGCACAAAAAUGAGUUUAAAUGACGAUUACCGCCUACUUUUUUCAAGCUUUCCUGAUUGCUGUCAAAACAAACAAAACUUCCAGCUUGAUUACAUCAGCAUUCGAAAGAGAGAGAGCGCACGCGUCUUUUGACUAUCCCAUGUCUGAAAUCGUGCCCUACUCACUAUAUAGGGCACUAUAUAGUGAGGACGCCAUUUUGUAGUGCUGUCCGGAACCUUAGUGACGAUUAUUUACACCCUACAUAGUGCACUCAAAGUAUCCCACAAUGCAUCACGAAAAGUAGUCUCCAACGAUGGUCACUAACCAAAGUGAUAGAUCCCAUCAUGCAUUGCGGUCGCGCUGAAAGAAAUCAAAUUAAAAGUCUCAGAUUUGAUUGAAUAAAAGGCAGCGGCAAAGAAGAAAGUAUUCAGCCUUGAUUUUAAAAGAACUGAAAGAUGCAGGGACUUUGUAUUGAUUAAGGUAGGAAAUACACUCAGUAUAAUAUGGAUUUAUCACAAAAAUACAUGCGUGUGUUUAUUUUGAAAACCCACCAGCCGACUGAUCUGGCACGUUUUAAUUGUGUGACAGUAAUGACGUAAAUACCAGCGUGAUGGAGUAGUGUCCAAAAGCGUUUUUUUAUUUUACCAAUGAGCUCACUAUAGUCCUCUAUAUAGUAAUUCCCUCUAUAGGGAGUAGUGAAUGAGUGAAUGAGUGAGUGAUUUCGGACACAGGGUUGGUCACUUUCAUUUCUGCUGUAUGUUUUACUUCCGUCCUACGAUGUCUCGCACAGGUCUCAACGAAUCUCGUUUAUGGCCAUUGCUUUGACAUAUGGACUGAUAUAUUCCAUAGCACAUUUCAAACACUCAGAACUUGCUCUAGCAGUGACAAAAUAGCUAUCAAAAAUGCAUUCCUAUAUUUAAUAAAAUUGCAUAGAAUAUUGAUAUAAAAAAAUUUGCCUUCAGUUCUCUUUUAAUAUGCCCCAUAACACAAUUCUACACUGGUUAUGGCCACGUUGAUGAGAGAUGACUCCAUCUAAACGUCUCCACAUGCACAGGGCAAUGGUGAAUGGCGUCACUUCAGUCAUGUUGUCUGAUCAGUGUUCUGAACUACUCCAUGUUGAAAUUUUGGGAACACAUCUGACUGGAUUGUGAGUCCUAUUAUUUCACCGUUGUCAUGUCCGUGUCCAUACUUAUCUGAAUGUAAGGUUCGGUGACAGUCAUGUUCACAUGAGUGACGUACGUUUCCAAAGCUGUUCAUAAUUCGUGAUGUGAAAGGACUUCUCUUGUCACCGCUGAAGUGAACGUCGAGUAUGCUGACACGCAUACACACACCUCCCCAUGCUGUCAGAAGGUCACGCAAACACAGGACACUGAGGCUCUAUUGAGCAUGUGUUUUCUCAGGUGAGCCUCGGCAAAUGGGUCCUAUGAGUAAAAUGUGAAAGAUGAGACUGUAUGAUAUGCAUUGGUAUGGUUUGUGUGUGUGUGUGUGUGUGUGUGUGUGUGUGUGUGUGUGUGUGUGUGUGUGUGUAAUUAAUGGGUGAUGACUGACCAAGCCUAGAGUGUGAACAACUGCAGCCAAGUCUUUUUUCCUCUUGCUCUCUCCUCACUGGGGCAGCUGGAGGGAUUCCUGGCAGAGUGAUUUGGGACUAAAUCAGAAAAUCACAUUGCCAGGGAUUUCCAACCAGCUGCAGGCCACUCGCUUCGACGAGUAUAGGCUCCAAAUGUCCUCUGACAUGUCCUCUGCUGUAUUUGCCUUUACCCUGCAUCUCAUUUUCUACACACAGCAGCUGGCCCUGGUUUCAGUCAUCUCCCAAAGGCAAAUCUCAGAGGCUGUAAAGAUGGCCCGUCUGCUACGGAGGCGAACUUUUGAAUAUACAGUAAAUAUAGGCUCCAAACAGAGCACGAAAUGUCUUUCAUAAACGCAUUUCAGAGUAUAAACAUCCAGUCUCCAACUGAUGACUGUGGUUUUAUGAAUUGGAAAGGGAUACAGGACUUUGGUGCCAUGCAGACGUAUGUGGGAUCUCGGUAUAAAAAAGACUGUGGCUUCUAUACUCAAGACUCGAGGUGGUCUUUGAAAUCUACAUGUGGAAAGAAUUGGCAUUACUAUCGCCAUCAUAAUUUGAUGCAUAAGUGUAUGCUGGGGAAAGAAAAAAAAUGUGAUAACGAGUUCAUUAGGCACGUGGAUAUGAGGCAAAGAAAAACAGAAACUUUGCAGCGCUCGUGCUGAAUAGGAUAUUUUAUUGGUCUUGUAAAAAAAAUUUACUACAACGCACUUUUUUUUUUACCAUCUCGUUUCAUCAUAGAUUGAUUGGUUUAUAUUUUCCCCCGAUGACCUCCAUUGUGGAAGAAUUAUCCCAGGAAGCGCUUCCAAUCAUCGUUAAAAUGUAAUAACGUGUAUGCAAGUGGAAACGAGCUGAAAUGACCGCUCUCCUCAUUCAGACUCUGCCAGUAACCAUAACGACAUCUAUGAUCUUUGGGUUAUGGUGUGGUAGAAGGCAGAAAAACAAGAACGACAGCUUGAAAAAGAAGAUCUUGGACAAGCAUGUGAACUCACAAGAAGAACGCUUGGCUCCGAUAAGAUGGCAUUUGAAUGCUAAGCAUCACUCUGCGAUGUUUCGUGAGGUGCAGGACUUGGCUUGCUUUGUGAACAGAUCUGGGAAAAGGCCGUGUUCACAGUGGCUAAGUUCCGCUCCUCUGAGGCUAAUUCUCAGAAUGGCUGGAAGGCAGUAAUCCAGGCACCAUGUGUAAAGACUCAAAGAGUAAACAGCACUGACCUACGGUAAGCUUUUCCUGUCAUAUUUGAAUCACAAUUUCUAUACAAAUGAAAAAGAAACUGAUCCUCAAUCAGUACUGUGUCAUUGUGACAAUUUGUAAACAAAGUUCAUAUCUAUAGGAACAUGCACAUGCUGAAUAAUACAGUUUAUUCUAUCCAUAUUCACUGGAUAUGAGCAAUCGCACACUCUGAUUGGCUACUCUACUACUAGGAUAUCAGCUCAUAUACCGUGAGUAGAGAAAAACAAAAUGGCGGUGCGUGUUGCUGAAACAACCGAGGACGAAAUAAAAACUCUACUCGAAAACAAAACUAAAAAAAAUACAAAAAAAAGCAACAAAAUAUGGAAUGAAAGUAUUUGAUGGUGAGAACAUAUUUAUUUAAAAAAAAAUCAAGAAUUAUUAUUAUUAUUAGAGCAUUUUUCACAAAUUGCUACAGUCAUUUCGCCAGUUUGUUUACAUUCUAAGCGGAAAUUAUUGUGUCGGGCGUUUUGUAUAAAGUUUUAUUUAUCGCAUUUGCAAAAAAUAAAAAUAAAAACGCUCUGUUUCUCACAAUCCAGUGAAUUUGGAUAUCAUAAAACAGUUAUUCCACUCAAUCUCGUCGUACAUCGCUUAUAGCCGACUCGGCGCGUAUCAGCUCAUGUAUGACUCAAUUUCGUGGAAUAACUGUUACAUAUCGCAACUAUAUAGGCUAAGACAUGUUUCUCAAGUGCAAACAGGCAAAUAAAUCAUCGUUUAAGCACAGUAUAGCUUGAACACUUUCAUGUCUAAGACCGGGUCUGUGUUUACAAAAGCAAAAAUGAACUGAGCUACACAAAAAGCCACAUCAAGAACCAUUUCAAACAAGUCAUACACCCACAAUAUAGGUUUUGAUCGGGACAUCUGGAUGGAAAAGGCUAUACGUGUCAUAAUUCACUGACGAGUAGACAAGUCUUUACAAAAUCAUGAAAAAGGAUUGUUCAAAGAAACAGGAUGACUUUUAGCCGUUAAGAACCACUCCAUUCACAGUAAUAAUGUAUAAGGGACCAUAAUGAAAAGAGCUGUCAUAGAUCCGACGGCUUACACGAUGAGAAACGAGAACCACGUCAAAUACCGUACAUGAUACACCGACGGAAAAUUUCAGCUUGACAAGGAAAUUUAAGACAGCGACAAAUCCGGGACAGUGUGAAGUGAUCCAUUCACCGGCCACUUUAUUAGGAACACCCAUGCAUCCUCCUGCUGGUUGAUGCAGUUGUCUAAUCAGCCGAUCCCUUGCCAGCGGCACGAUGCAUAAAAUCACGCGGAUGCAAAUCAAGAGCUUCAGUUAAUGUUCACAGUGUUCCAACAUCAGAAUGGGGAAAAAUUGUGAUCAAGUCAAGUCAAGUUUAUUUCUAUAGCGCUUUUAACAACAGACAUUGUCGCAAAGCAGCUUUACAGAAUAUUAAUGACUUUAAACAUGAGCUAAUUUGAUCCCUAAUCUAUCCCUAAUGAGCAAGCCUGUGGCGACGGUGGCAAGGAAAAACUCCCUCAGACGACAUGAGGAAGAAACCUCAAGAGGAACCAGACCCAAAGGGAACCCAUCCUCAUUUGGGCCACAACAGACAUUAAUAAUAACAUUAACAUUAACAGUUUUAAUCAAAGUGAUCUCAAAGUGUGACUUUCUUUCACUGUGGUGGCAUGGGUGUUAGUUUGAGCCAGAUGGACUGGUUUGAGUGAGUAUUUCUGAAACUGCUGAUCUCCUGGGGUUUUCACACACAACAGUUUCAACGACAGAGUUUACACAGAAUGGUGCGAAAAACAAAAAACACAGAGUGAGUGAGCCACAGUUCUGCGGGUGGAAACAAGCGCCUUGUUGAUAAGAGAGUGCAGAGGAAAAUGGCCAGAUUGGUUCAAGCUGCCAGGAAGUUCCUCAUAGCAACUCUUUACAACCGUGCUGAGCAGAAAAGCAUCUCAGCAUGCAACAUUGGGUUCCACUCCUGCAGCCAAGAACAGGGAUCUUAGAAUCAAGAACAAGUUCCUAUUAAAGUGGCCGGCUGGUGAGUGUAUAUUUUGGGAAUUUGUGACUUGUGAUGAGACUUUGACAAUUUGAAAAAGAUUAUGUUGGAUUUUUUUCCAUAUGGACGAGCUGAUAGAAGGUUGAUUCUGACAACUCAGUGGCAGGAAAAAGGAGGACUGGGCUCAUCCUCCUGUGCCUACUGAGCUGAUAACAGUUGGUAAAGCACGCACUGGCUCAGUUCAGCAGGAACCGGAGUUCGGCCCCUUACUGCACCAAGCUGAUGCCAGAUCCCAGCAUCCUCCUCUACACACUUCAGUCAGCUAUCCGGGGCAUAAGAGCAACAGAGGAAGGGCUGCUGUUUGGGCUUUAAGCAGAUUCCAGAAGCAGAGUUUUUCCAGGCCAAGUCAUUUUCAAACAUAUGUUUUCAUUCAACAAAUAAACUGUCAAAUUUGUUCAUCUCA
This is a long non-coding RNA of Neoarius graeffei (lesser salmon catfish), 6005 nucleotides long. RefSeq lists it as uncharacterized. The record is from RefSeq and is a predicted model, not a curated record. NCBI's taxonomy places the organism in Eukaryota, Metazoa, Chordata, Actinopteri, Siluriformes, Ariidae. The transcript has 2 exons.